RNAcentral lists this long non-coding RNA (308 nucleotides) under Vigna radiata. Its description in RNAcentral is "long non-coding RNA (VRAD_LNC005478)". The record is from RNAcentral. Lineage: Eukaryota; Viridiplantae; Streptophyta; Magnoliopsida; Fabales; Fabaceae.
AUUGUAUCUUCGCUUAGUUGAUCGAUCUGUAUAGAACACAUAGGAUGGAAUAGGUGCAUUGCAUUCGCUUAGUCUGCAAUUUUGAAGAUCGAAUUAGCCUUCGCUUAGUUGGGUGAUUCGUGUUGGAUUUGGAUUAGAGUAGUGUGUACUUGUCGUUAAUCUGUGAUUGGAAGCAUAGUAAUUGAGUUAAUGACCAACCAUUUUUAUUCUGUAUUUGAUUCCGUUUUGCAUUUCUAUUUUCACAUUCUUGUUUGCAUCUGUGUUUACAUUUAAUUCAUCCGCAAUCACAAACCUUUCACAACCCCCCC